CCUAGUAGUCCACGCCGUAAACGAUGAGAACUAAGUGUUGGAGGAAUUCAGUGCUGCAGUUAACGCAAUAAGUUCUCCGCCUGGGGAGUAUGCACGCAAGUGUGAAACUCAAAGGAAUUGACGGGGGCCCGCACAAGCGGUGGAGUAUGUGGUUUAAUUCGAAGCAACGCGAAGAACCUUACCAGGCCUUGACAUGGAAACAAAUACCCUAGAGAUAGGGGGAUAAUUAUGGAUCACACAGGUGGUGCAUGGUUGUCGUCAGCUCGUGUCGUGAGAUGUUGGGUUAAGUCCCGCAACGAGCGCAACCCUUGUCGCAUGUUACCAGCAUCAAGUUGGGGACUCAUGCGAGACUGCCGGUGACAAACCGGAGGAAGGUGGGGAUGACGUCAAAUCAUCAUGCCCCUUAUGGCCUGGGCUACACACGUACUACAAUGGCGACCACAAAGAGCAGCGACACAGUGAUGUGAAGCGAAUCUCAUAAAGGUCGUCUCAGUUCGGAUUGAAGUCUGCAACUCGACUUCAUGAAGUCGGAAUCGCUAGUAAUCGCAGAUCAGCAUGCUGCGGUGAAUACGUUCUCGGGCCUUGUACACACCGCCCGUC
Molecule: ribosomal RNA, 600 nt
Filed under: uncultured bacterium
Lineage: Bacteria
Description: bacterial SSU rRNA
Rfam family: Bacterial small subunit ribosomal RNA
Source: RNAcentral